GACGAACCGUGCGAACGUUGUUCGGAAUCACUGGGCUUAAAGGGCGCGUAGGCGGCUUCGCAAGUCCGGGGUGAAAGCCCCCAGCUCAACUGGGGAAGGGCCUCGGAUACUGCGGAGCUCGAGGGAGGUGGGGGCGGAUGGAACUUCCGGUGGAGCGGUGAAAUGCGUUGAUAUCGGAAGGAACGCCGGUGGCGAAAGCGAUCCGCUGGCCCUCUACUGACGCUGAGGCGCGAAAGCCAGGGGAGCAAACGGG
Molecule: ribosomal RNA, 253 nt
Filed under: uncultured bacterium
Lineage: Bacteria
Description: partial 16S ribosomal RNA
Rfam family: Bacterial small subunit ribosomal RNA
Source: RNAcentral